UUCAUUGGUUAUUUUUAUAAAGUUAUGCAAUUCCUAACUCAAAUUUAUUGGUCAUUUGCAAAUGGAAUCAAAUGCCUAUCAUUUCUAUUGGAUAGACUUUAAGAAAAUCCAUUAAUGACAUUUAUUUAAAUAUUUGAUCCCUAUUAUGUGCCAGGCAGAAUAUAUCAGUAAACAAACAUGUCCUCUUGGAGUUUACAUUUUAGUGUGAGAGCAAGAAAGCAAGCACAUGAAGAAAACAAUGUGUAGAGAUAAGGACUAUAAAGAACAAGUUAGGAUGGGGGCAAAAGGUUACUGGGGAGAAAGGGAGAAGGAAGGGGAGAGACAGAGGGGGAUUAGUUUUGCUUUGGUUGUCAAAGGAAGGCAUCUUUAAGGCUGUAACAUUUUUGAUGAGACCUGUUAAAAGAUAAACUAAGGGAUAUUAAAAAGUUUAUCAGAGCAAAAAUUGAUUGGAAUUAGGCAGUGCCAAACCAUAGUUAUGAGUGCCGAGCCAACAGAAUUCAGGGGAAAGACUUAUUUAUUUAGAUAAAGUACAGAAGCGAAGAAAGGAAGUUAUUUGGCUAUAUAUUAAAGUCUAGUUGGCUUUUAGUGAUUGAUUAUCCUUAGUGUUUUGAUAUUGGAACAUUGAGGCAUUUAUAGGCUUAGAUUUGGGUUUGCACAUGUAGGCCAGUGUGGCAUUAGAGCCACCUCAGUCUAAUGGACUACUUGUUUAAUUAAUAUAACAGAUUUGAAGGAUAAAAGGAGCUAACCACUCUGAGAUCCAGAGAUGGAAGAGAAAGGCUCUGAUGCAAGAAUUGUGCUUGGUAAAGUUGGAAAGAUGAAAGGAGCAGGUGGAGGGUGUCCCCAGGGAAAGAGAAGAACUAUGGUGUAGUAAGCAGCGUGUGCAUCCAUAGGACCUUCAAGCCUGGGACUCUGAAGGUUUCAAUUCCGGGUUGCCAUGGUGGUGAUGAGAGCACUCAGAAUCUGAGAUUCUUAAAUCUCGGAACCAUGGAACCUGCGGGUGGCUAAGUGCUUGGGCUCUAACCUCGGAAUCUGAACCCUUAUUUUUGCCUAAGGUGAAUGCUCAUGGUAUGUGGCAUCAUUUUCUUUUGCCGGGCAAGGGUGAAGGCCAUAGUUCCCAGUCAACCAUGAUUACGAAGUAUUCAUAGCUCUCUAUACAUUUUACAGAAGCUGGAGAUGGAUUUUUAAUACUGUUUACCAACUGUACGGUUUUGAUGGACACUUUAAUCAUGUAAUACAACUGCAAAAUCUACCACUGGGAGCUAUACAAGUCUUGAACCAAAUUGAGAAAAGAAAUUACAUGAACACAGCCAUUUUAUGUUGAUGUUAACUUGAGAAAAAAAGAACCAAAAAAGUUCAUAACACAAUCAUUUUUUCAAAUAAUUUUUCAAGUGUCAUAAUCUUCCUUAAAUUAAUACCCCGUGUGGUAAUUAAUGUUUUUUGAUGCUCUGUUGGUUUUGUUUUGCUACAAAAUAACAUUGCUAAUUAGUAAACUAACAACUACAUCUAAACCUUCUAAAAUGAUAAAGGACCAACAUUCCUCCAAGCUUGCAAGCCCUAAAUUCCACUGGCAGCUGCCUUGUAGAAUUUCAUAGGCUUUUCAACAUCUAAAGUACCAGAAUGGAUUAUGAGCUAUUUUUAUGUGAGAAAGCUCCUGGGACGUGGGAUGGAUUCAGUUCUCCUUUAGGCUGGACGACCACCCAUCCAGAACGCUAGAAAAUAAAUUCAAGCACUGAACACAACAUUUCUAAAUAAACUUAGUCUGGUCAGACUCUCAGAGUGACCCCACAGUCCCCAUUUCCUGGGGUUCACUCCCUUGUGGAUCCCAUCCCUUCAAGUGUGGGCAAGACCUAUGUUUGCUUCUAACUGAAAAAUUUGGUAAAGCUUGUCUUAAGCAUAACAGGAAAAUGUCAAGGAAACAGAGGUACCAGGUUUGCAGAACCUUGGAAAGUUUUAUUGAUCUUGUGAUUCAUGCCGGUUUCAUGAUGUCUCAAACCCAGCUCAAGAGAAUAAACUUUUGAAAAAACGUAUAUAAUCAAAGCCAUCCUAAAUUUGCAACAUUGAUUACAACAAUG
Molecule: long non-coding RNA, 2072 nt
Organism: Canis lupus familiaris (dog)
Lineage: Eukaryota; Metazoa; Chordata; Mammalia; Carnivora; Canidae
Exons: 4
Source: RefSeq, a predicted model, not a curated record